This 469-nucleotide ribosomal RNA is filed under the name uncultured bacterium. Its description in RNAcentral is "partial 16S ribosomal RNA". It matches the Rfam family "Bacterial small subunit ribosomal RNA", at positions 28 to 507 of the family's 1533-position model. The record is from RNAcentral.
GACGAACGCUGGCGGCGUGCUUAACACAUGCAAGUCGAACGGAAAGGCCCUUCUUUUGUUGUUUACACGAGUGGCGAACGUGUGAGUAACACGUGAGUAACCUUCCCACAACUUUGUGAUAACGCUAGGAAACUGGUUCUAAUACUUGAUAUGUUCUCCUGCUGCAUGUUGGUUGUUGUAAAGCUCCGGCGUUUGUGGAUGGACUCGCUGCCUAUCAGCUUGUUGGUGGGGUAGUGGCCUACCAAGGCGGCGACGGGUAGCCGGCCUGAGAGGGUGACCGGCCACAUUGGGACUGAGAUACGGCCCAGACUGCUAAGGGAGGAAGAAGUGGGGAAGAUUGCAAAAGGGGCGCAAGCCUGAUGCAGCAAAGCCGCGUGCGGGAUGACGGCCUUCGGGUUGAAAAACGCUUUCAGAAGGGACGAAGCUUUUUGUGACGGUAACUGCAGAAGAAGCACCGGCUAACUACGUG